GGGACUGUAGCUCAGUGGUAGGGUGCUUGCCUAGCACGCAUGAGGCACUGGGUUUGAUCCUCAGCACCA
Molecule: transfer RNA, 69 nt
Filed under: Ictidomys tridecemlineatus (thirteen-lined ground squirrel)
Lineage: Eukaryota; Metazoa; Chordata; Mammalia; Rodentia; Sciuridae
Description: Spermophilus tridecemlineatus (thirteen-lined ground squirrel) tRNA
Rfam family: tRNA
About the family: Transfer RNA (tRNA) molecules are approximately 80 nucleotides in length. Their secondary structure includes four short double-helical elements and three loops (D, anti-codon, and T loops).
Source: Rfam by way of RNAcentral